This 947-nucleotide long non-coding RNA is filed under the name Helianthus annuus (common sunflower). Its description in RNAcentral is "hypothetical non coding rna". The record is from RNAcentral. Lineage: Eukaryota; Viridiplantae; Streptophyta; Magnoliopsida; Asterales; Asteraceae.
CCCACUCCAAAUCAACCAACAUCAAGAACAGAAAAUUCGGAGCCCUAGCUCUCAUUCUUCACCCCAUCUGCACUGGUUCACACCAGAUUGGAACCCUAGCUCUCCUUCUUCCCUACCAGACUAUUCGGGCCAAUCACUUCACACUAACAACAUCGUUCGUCUAUCCAACAACGGAGGCGAUUACAUACGGUGGCCCCCGCAGUGGAUACGGUUCCGACAUAACCCUCAAGAUCUACGUCUACGAUGAAACAGAAAUUGGCAGCGUUAAAGAGCUGUUGCACGGACAUGACUAAACAUGACUCAAGGGCCGAUUGGGCAGUCAGAUAUUAAGUCAAAACUAGGUUGGAUUGACGAGCAUGAGAUAUAAUUUGCCACAACUAGCUUAGCUUUGGGAAAGGAAGUGUCCAGUAACAAGAAAGAGCAUAGAAAACUGCCAUUCAAGCGCUUAUCAAUGCCUCAGCCACCCAAACUCUUCUUUGGUCUAUCAAAUGAGUGAACGGUUGGUGGUAGAGAACCGGAAAAAGUAUUAAAAUGUUAAGGCUCCUUCAAGAUUUUCUGAAUUUAAAAUAGAGUCUUAUCUUUAAACAAUUGUUUUCCAUAGGGAGAUUAACGAAGUGCAGAAGGGGAGUUGGUGGUGUUCUGAUUUCACUCACGGAUAGCAUCCGAAGCAAACAAAGUAUUUAUUGUCGUUGAGUAACUGAUUAAGGUUUGGUUGAGGUGAUUAUGCAUUAGCUCCUACAACAGGCACCAUUAUGUAAGCCAUUGGAGCAUAUCGGUUUGCUGCUGUUGCAAGUGCUGCUAGUAGAGUGAUGUAGGUUCUGUUGCACUUGUUGCAUCAUUUGGAGAUAUCUUUUGAUAGAAGCUUAUGUAUUUGGCAUUUAAAUUUUAAAUUUAUGUAUGGAUUUUGGUUUAUUAUUGUUAAUAUUAUUUGGUUUUUAAGUUUUCUU